GGAAAUCUCACCAGGCCCGGACACUGGAAGGAUUGACAGAUUGAUAGCUCUUUCUUGAUUCGGUGGGUUGUGGUGCAUGGCCGUUCUUAGUUGGUUGAGUGAUUUGUCUGGUUAAUUCCGUUAACGAACGAGACCUUAACCUGCUAAAUAGUGACGCGGUUCAUCGAACCGUGGGCCACUUCUUAGAGGGACUAUCGGAUUCAAACCGAUGGAAGUGUGAGGCAAUAA
RNAcentral lists this ribosomal RNA (228 nucleotides) under uncultured eukaryote. Its description in RNAcentral is "partial 18S ribosomal RNA". It matches the Rfam family "Eukaryotic small subunit ribosomal RNA", at positions 1208 to 1456 of the family's 1831-position model. The record is from RNAcentral.